AUUGCUUCUUGGCCUUCUGGAUGAGACCAGCUAUAGUGUCUGUUUUUACCAGCCUACCUCCUGAGGCAUCCUCUAUCUGAGGAGAAUUGUUUAAGAGGAUUUUUGGAGCAGGGAGGUAGAAUAGGAACUUGCCUGACCACACAUAAUUCUGGUAUUAUAGUACCUUGAAAAACAAUAUACCCCCC
Molecule: small nuclear RNA, 185 nt
Organism: Arvicanthis niloticus (Nile rat)
Lineage: Eukaryota; Metazoa; Chordata; Mammalia; Rodentia; Muridae
Product: U2 spliceosomal RNA
Source: RefSeq, a predicted model, not a curated record